AAAUACCGGAUUAAUACCGCAUACACUCUAUGGAGAAAAAGACAGGGGAGUCUUCGGUACCCGUUGUUGCUAUUGGAUGAGCCUAUGUCGGAUUAGUUAGUUGGUGGGGUAAAGGCCUACCAAGGCAGCGAUCCGUAGCUGGUCUUAGAGGAUGAUCAGCCACAUCGGGACUGAGACACGGCCCGAACUCCUACGGGAGGCAGCAGUGGGGAAUAUUGCACAAUGGGCGCAAGCCUGAUGCAGCUAUGCCGCGUGUGUGAAGAAGGCCUUAGGGUUGUAAAGCACUUUCAGUAGUGAGGAAAAGUGUUGUGUUAAUAGCGCAAUGCUGUGACGUUAGCUACAGAAGAAGGACCGGCAAACUCCGUG
Molecule: ribosomal RNA, 366 nt
Filed under: uncultured bacterium
Lineage: Bacteria
Description: bacterial SSU rRNA
Rfam family: Bacterial small subunit ribosomal RNA
Source: RNAcentral